AGUGAACGCUGGCGGUAGGCCUAACACAUGCAAGUCGAACGGCAGCACAGGAGAGCUUGCUCUCUGGGUGGCGAGUGGCGGACGGGUGAGGAAUACAUCGGAAUCUACUCUGUCGUGGGGGAUAACGUAGGGAAACUUACACUAAUACCGCAUACGACCUACGGGUGAAAGCAGGGGACCUUCGGGCCUUGCGCGAUUGAAUGAGCCGAUGUCGGAUUAGCUAGUUGGCGGGGUAAAGGCCCACCAAGGCGACGAUCCGUAGCUGGUCUGAGGGGAUGAUCAGCCACACUGGAACUGAGACACGGUCCAGACUCCUACGGGAGGCAGCAGUGGGGAGUAUUGGACAAUGGGCGCAAGCCUGAUCCAGCCAUACCGCGUGGGUGAAGAAGGCCUUCGGGUUGUAAAGCCCUUUUGUUGGGAAAGAAAUCCAGCUGGCUAAUACCCGGUUGGGAUGACGGUACCCAAAGAAUAAGCACCGGCUAACUUCGUGCCAGCCGCCGCCGUAA
RNAcentral lists this ribosomal RNA (506 nucleotides) under uncultured bacterium. Its description in RNAcentral is "partial 16S ribosomal RNA". It matches the Rfam family "Bacterial small subunit ribosomal RNA", at positions 29 to 523 of the family's 1533-position model. The record is from RNAcentral.